GGGUUGUUUAGGAGGUUAAGGGAAUAGACUCGGGAAGCUUUGUUGAGGGUGGAUUGCCAUAAGUAACGACUGGCGAGUUCUUCAAGUGAGGCAAGCUUGUAGGCUAGCUUAUUGAGAGAUCCAAAUUAGUUCGUUAAAGCGAUGAUGGAUGAUAAGGGUUUGUAAUUGUUAGGUGAGAAUAUGCGAAGCAAGUUUUAUUUUGGUUUUAGCUUUCACCUUUUAUUUUUUCAUAAACAUAAAAAAGUUUUAACAAAUGGAAAACAUAAAAAAGCUACGUUAAAAGAGAUGGAGA
This 292-nucleotide long non-coding RNA is filed under the name Gossypium raimondii (Peruvian cotton). RNAcentral describes it as "long non-coding RNA (GRAI_LNC003059)". Lineage: Eukaryota; Viridiplantae; Streptophyta; Magnoliopsida; Malvales; Malvaceae. The record is from RNAcentral.